AUUGAACGCUGGCGGAAUGCUUUACACAUGCAAGUCGAACGGCAGCACGGACUUCGGUCUGGUGGCGAGUGGCGAACGGGUGAGUAAUGUAUCGGAACGUGCCCAGUCGUGGGGGAUAACGUAGUGAAAAUUACGCUAAUACCGCAUACGAUCUAUGGAUGAAAGCGGGGGAUCGCAAGACCUCGCGCGAUUGGAGCGGCCGAGAUCAGAUUAGGUAGUUGGUGGGGUAAAGGCCCACCAAGCCAACGACUGUAGCUGGUCUGAGAGGACGACCAGCCACACGGGAACUGGGACACGGUCCAGACUCCUACGGGAGGCAGCAGUGGGGAAUUUUGGACAAUGGGCGAAAGCCUGAUCCAGCCAUUCCGCGUGCAGGAUGAAGGCCCUCGGGUUGUAAACUGCUUUUGUACAGAACGAAAAGGUUUCUACUAAUACUAGGAGCUCAUGACGGUACUGUAAGAAUAAGCACCGGCUAACUACGUGCCAGCAGCCGCAGUAA
RNAcentral lists this ribosomal RNA (499 nucleotides) under uncultured bacterium. RNAcentral describes it as "partial 16S ribosomal RNA". It matches the Rfam family "Bacterial small subunit ribosomal RNA", at positions 30 to 523 of the family's 1533-position model. The record is from RNAcentral.